Molecule: small nucleolar RNA, 120 nt
Filed under: Jaculus jaculus (lesser Egyptian jerboa)
Lineage: Eukaryota; Metazoa; Chordata; Mammalia; Rodentia; Dipodidae
Description: Small nucleolar RNA SNORA40 (ENSJJAG00000008686.1)
Rfam family: Small nucleolar RNA SNORA40
About the family: The snoRNA ACA 40 belongs to the H/ACA family of snoRNAs and guides the pseudouridylation of 28S rRNA subunit at position U4565. NB This family has a high threshold value to exclude a large number of closely related sequences that do not appear to have conserved H and ACA boxes, and may be pseudogenes.
Source: Rfam by way of RNAcentral
UGGACUUGUCUUUGUUGAACUAAUGGACUUAAAGAUGGGUGCAAAAACAAAUCCUCUUUUGCCAUCCAGAACACUUGUUAAGUAUAAGUAUGGGUUUUGAUACAUAAAAGAAGGAAUAUG